AGGGGUGCUUGGGGAGGACGCGACGGGAGAACGAAGCGCCUGGCAGAAUAUGCAGAUUUCCGGCUCCCACUUUUGCAAAAAGUGAUAAAUGCGUGAAGGCUACAAUAUGUAGAUAUAUUUUGAAGAAGAAUUGAACCUGCGAUCAAAAUUAUGGAUGAUUUGGAACGAUCGUUUCAAGAACUAUCAUUUGAAGUAUCAUCAAGCUUGGAGGAGGAAAGGUAUACGUUUGGUAUCGAAGAAUUGAGUGUUAGAGGUAGUGGAAGAUAUAAAUCACCAAAUUUAUGCUCUGAAUUAGAAAGGUUGUUGGACUAUUGUGAAGACUCCAAUGUCCAUGAAAAACAGACAUUAUUAAUGAGUUUACAUGGCAUUC
RNAcentral lists this long non-coding RNA (370 nucleotides) under Dendronephthya gigantea. RNAcentral describes it as "uncharacterized LOC114537974". The record is from RNAcentral. Lineage: Eukaryota; Metazoa; Cnidaria; Anthozoa; Malacalcyonacea; Nephtheidae.